GCCUCCUUAGCUCAGUUGGUAGAGCAUCAGUCUCAUAGUAGUGCGCUGAGUGUCAUCAGUUCGAUCCUGAUAGGGGGCA
This 79-nucleotide transfer RNA is filed under the name Terfezia boudieri ATCC MYA-4762. It matches the Rfam family "tRNA". From Rfam's summary of the family: Transfer RNA (tRNA) molecules are approximately 80 nucleotides in length. The record is from Rfam by way of RNAcentral. Lineage: Eukaryota; Fungi; Ascomycota; Pezizomycetes; Pezizales; Pezizaceae.